AUGGCUGACCAAGGGAUUCUACACCAAACUUCAUGUCCGGACCCCCCCCCCCCUCAGAAUGGAGUGGCCGAAAGGAAGAAUUGUCAUAUUCUUGAGGUUGCUCGGUCGUUGAUGUUUACCAUAAAUGUGCCUAAGUUCUUGUGGGAUGAUGCAGUUAUGACAGCCACAUACUUGAUCAACCGGACACCUUCCAGGAUACUAGGCAUGAAAUCUCCGUCUGAGUUGCUCGUUGGAGAUAAUAACUUUGUUGUUCCACCAAAGUUGUUUGGCAGUACCUGCUUUGUUCAUGAUCACCGACCUUUUGUUGGAAAGCUUGAUCCUCGGGCAGUGAAGUGUGUCUUUCUGAGAUACUCGUCUAGUCAGCAAGGGUAUAAAUGUUGGUGUCCCUCUGAAAAACGCAGGUUUGUAAGUAUGGAUGUUACCUUCAGGGAGUCUGAGCCAUUCUAUGGUGAGCCGACUGAUCUCAGUCUACUGUUUGCAGAGCUUGACCACCUACACCCUGUGUGUGAUGGUCAAGAGGGGGAGAAGGAUGUGUCUCAUACUCAUGGUGAUUAUGUGGACAUUAACACUGAUAAUGAUAUGCGAGCUCAGGUUCAACCAAUAGUGGGUACAAUUCCAGUUAGUACCCUCACUGAUGAUGAUGUGCAGGCCCAUGUCGAGCCAACUAUCGAUACACUUAAGAUUGGUGCUCUCCAUGUUCCUGUUCGGGAUCGAUGGCAGACGAAUACCCUGGUGUACUCUUGA
This 744-nucleotide ribosomal RNA is filed under the name Triticum aestivum (bread wheat). RNAcentral describes it as "partial small subunit ribosomal RNA". The record is from RNAcentral. Lineage: Eukaryota; Viridiplantae; Streptophyta; Magnoliopsida; Poales; Poaceae.